GAUUGUAAGUUUCCUGAGGCCUCCCUAGAAGCUGAGCAGAUGCCAGCACCACGCUUUCUAUACAGCCUAAGGAACUAUGAGCCAAUGAAACCUCUUUUCUUCAUAAAUUACCCGGUCUCAGAUAUGGAGUUACCAGUAAGGAGCUCCACCGUGACUCUCCUCCCUGCUCUAUUGCCCCGACGAGGAAGUGUGAAAAUGUGUCUGGCUCCAUCCAAGAGUUACUUCGCUGAAGAAGAGAGGGCUUUGUUGAAGUCUUCCCAUGCUUUCUGCACAGGGCUCUGGCCUUGGAGAAAGGAUUUCCAGUUACUGCAGUGUCACUUGGCCCUGGGUCUCCUCCUGGGAGAGAGAAGUGUACGGCUCCCAAGGUUCCUGGCAGUUUUGAAAGAGCUCUCAGCCACAGCCAGCUUUACUUUGGCAAGUGAGGCCAUCCCCUUUCUUUCCUCCUUUCCUUUCCCAUGGAACCUACUCCUUCCAUCUGUCUUUCAAGCUCUGCCUCAGAAAUGGCAAUUCAAGCCUGAUUUUCUCCUUGAAUGCACUCUCUCUGUGAAAGAGGCUUUUCACCAAGAAUGUGGUGCUGGUGUUUCUCUUGCCAAUGGGCUAAACAAAGACCUCCGCACCGGGUAACAUUUGGGCAGGCCUCUUCACACAUGCCUGUCCUUCUCCGUCGCACUUGGCUAAAGCCAACAACCUAUGUGUGAAAAGUAUAAAGAGAUGGAAAAAUUCCCAUGAAAAAUCCUUCCGCAAAGCAAUUGCGAGACAACUAUGGCGUCAUCUGAUAACAUGAUUUCUAUUUUGCAUCUGUUCCAUUGUUGGAGGUCACUCAUAGUUGCAAGCCUUGCGUGUACAUACGCAAAAAUUAUAAGUGAAUGCAUCUGCUCAGGUUAUUAGCCACUGAUUGUGAAAUAAUCUGAAGUUUGAGAGUCUCAGUUAAUAACCUAUGGGUGCUGAGAGCAUUCAAAGACCCAAUAGCAUAAGUAUUAAUCACCUCUUUUCUCCAGAGUAGCAAAUAAGAAACCAGGAAGAGCUCAGUUUCACUUCCAACUUGUUCUUUAAGGGCCUUAGAGUUGAUAGUUGUCCUUAUCUGGGCUCCCUAAUGCCAUGACAAAUCAACGAGAAGAGAAAUAUGCCCCAAAUCAGCACCCAGACACGCUGGUGCCAGCCUGUGUCCACGCUCCUGCAACAGCUGCUGCUCAUGGGGUAAGACUGAGCCAGGUCUAAGAUUAGCAGCGUCCCAGCUCCUCAGGUUCCUGUACAUUGACUCACAACGGAAUCAAAACUCGAGAGCUCAACUCUCUGGUUUCUUCUGCUUUCUUUUCUGCAAUUUUCUUUUCUUUUUUUUUUUUUUAAACUUUAUUUUAUUGGCAACCGUGAAAGAGAUAUUUACAACAAGACUCAGAGCAAGGUCAGAGACCCCUAAACAGAUGGUUUUCCCUUAACUUAUCAGGCUGGAGCAGAGUUUAAACCAAGCUGGAGGAAUCCCUCCAGCUCUGGGCACAAUGUAAUCUCUAUAUCCUGGCCUUCAUCGCAUUGGCUGGAAGCUGGUUGGCUUCAUCCAAGGGCCUACUUCGAGGGGAUUCAUGCUUCUGCAAGUUUGAGCAUCCCUCACUCCUGGCGCUGGCGGUGCCACUCGGCCAUGGACUGGAGCAUCCACUUGGUCUGGAGCUUGUACAAAUAGCAGCCAUAAACCACGACUUCGGUGAGGUCUGAAGACUCCAGAGCCUUCAGCUCGAGCAUGGCCUUGCUCACCAGCUCAGUGUAAGGGAUUCCUCCCUCCCCAACCUCCAGAGAGUUAGAGACAGCUCUACCACCCGGCGUUGAAGAAAGCUGACCACUGGUGUGCUUCCAGAAUGCGAGAAGCUCUUGAAGCCCAACAUUCCCUUUCAGUGAUGUUACUGACAUUUUCCCAAAGCUGUGUUCUUCAGAGUUGCACAUGGCAUUGUUAACAACUAUUUUUUAAAAACAUUUUUUAGAGACGGGAUUUUGCCAUGUUGGCAGGUUGGUCUCAAACUUUUGGGCUCAAGCGAUCCACCCUCCUCAGCUUCCCAAAGUGCUGGGAUUAACAGGCCUGAGCCCAGCACAACAACUAUUGAAACCCUUGUCAGGCCCCUGUUGGACCCCUGGAGCCUGGUUAACGGGAACAACCACGGUGGGCAUUAACCUCUUCCUGGGUAACUUCAGUACGCCAGCACGGUUGAGAACUAUUGUUCAAUGCAAACUUAACAUAUGAAGCCCCUCUCAUGUGUCAGGCAUGGUGUCAGAUGCUGGACUGCAAGAAGGUGGCCUUCUGCAAAUGGGGACGAGUCCUCACCAGGUGUGGGAUCUGCCAGCACCUUGAUCUUGGGCUUCCCAGCCUCAGAACUGUAAGAAAGUUUCGCUCUUUCGCCCAGGCUGGAGUGCAGUGGCAUGAUCUUGGCUCACUUCAACCUCUGCCUUCCGGUUUCAAGUGAUUCUACUGCCUCAGCCUCCCAAGUAGCUGGGAUUACAGGCACCCGCCACCAUGCCUAGCUAAUUUUUUUGUAUUUUCAAUAGUGACAGAGUUUCACUAUAUUGGCCAGGCUGGUGUUGAACUCCUGACCUCAUGAUCUACCCACUCAGCCUCCCAAAGUGCUGGGAUUACAGGCGUGAGCCAUCGCGCCCAGCCCACAAGUUUUAAUGACUUUUUUUCAUAGAUGCUGAAACUGAAAAAGGGUGUGGUUAAAUAAUUUGCCUAAGCCAGUCUCUGGCAGAGAUGGGAUUCAUAUCCAGCUACUGAUGACCAAACGUGGUGAACAGGUAUCCUACGUCCCAAGGAACCCCAUUCCACCUGAGCACCGGAUGGGAGGGAUAUUGCAAUCACCCCCGUGCAUGAUGGACAGGUCUGGGAGCAUUGGACACUCAAUGGAAACUCAUGCCCCCUGUCAGAAAUUGGCAACUGCCACUGCCACUGCCACUGCCACGGCACUUGCAAAGUUUGCACACGGUCCAGAUGUGGCCCGGCUUGUUGCUGUCAUGGUAGCAAUAGUAAUUACUUAGGGGAUUUCUGCAGAUCUUGCUCAUAUUGUGCAUAAUGGGGUAUAAAAUAUGGAAAAUUUGCCUCUAAAAUAAAGUGUUGCUGGCAAACUCAAU
This 3105-nucleotide long non-coding RNA is filed under the name Pongo abelii (Sumatran orangutan). RNAcentral's name for it is "lincRNA". Lineage: Eukaryota; Metazoa; Chordata; Mammalia; Primates; Hominidae. The record is from RNAcentral.